This 464-nucleotide ribosomal RNA is filed under the name uncultured bacterium. RNAcentral's name for it is "bacterial SSU rRNA". It matches the Rfam family "Bacterial small subunit ribosomal RNA", at positions 50 to 507 of the family's 1533-position model. The record is from RNAcentral.
GACACAUGCAAGUCGAACGAGAAGCUUCUUCGGAAGUGGAGAGUGGCGCACGGGUGAGUAUCGCGUGGAUAACGUACCUUUCGGCGGGGGACAACUCGGGGGAAACCUGAGCUAAUACCGCAUACGUUUGUUGGGUCUUUGGGCCUGACAAAGAAAGCAGGGCAACUUGCACCGGAAGAUCGGUCCGCGUUCCAUCAGCUUGUUGGUGAGGUAACGGCUCACCAAGGCAACGACGGAUAGCUGGUCUGAGAGGAUGAUCAGCCACACUGGGACUGAGACACGGCCCAGACUCCUACGGGAGGCAGCAGUGGGGAAUAUUGGACAAUGGGCGCAAGCCUGAUCCAGCAAUGCCGUGUGUGUGAUGAAGGCCUUCGGGUUGUAAAGCACUGUCAGUGGGGACGAAUUGCUUCGGGUAACGCCGAAGAGUGACGGUACCCACAGAGGAAGGACCGGCUAACUCCGUG